Molecule: ribosomal RNA, 414 nt
Filed under: uncultured bacterium
Lineage: Bacteria
Description: bacterial SSU rRNA
Rfam family: Bacterial small subunit ribosomal RNA
Source: RNAcentral
GACGAACGCUGGCGGUGUGCCUCACACAUGCAAGUCGAACGGGGUAGCAAUACCUAGUGGCGGACGGGUGAGUAACGCGUGGGAAUCUGCCUUUAGAUGGGGGAUAACUGACCGAAAGGUUAGCUAAUACCGCAUAUGCCGAAAGGUGAAAGGAGCAAUCCGUCUGAAGAUGAGCCCGCGUCCGAUUAGCUAGUUGGUAGGUAAAGGCCUACCAAGGCUACGAUCGGUAGCUGGCUUGAGAGGAUGAUCAGCCACAAUGGGACUGAGACACGGCCCAUACUCCUACGGGAGGCAGCAGUGGGGAAUUUUGNGCAAUGGGGGAAACCCUGACACAGCGACCACCGCGUGAGCGAGGAAGCCCUUUGGGUGUAAAGCUCUGUCAGCAGGAACGAAUCAAUGACGGUACCUGCAGAG